RNAcentral lists this small RNA (67 nucleotides) under Arabidopsis thaliana (thale cress). RNAcentral's name for it is "ATSL244940". The record is from RNAcentral. Lineage: Eukaryota; Viridiplantae; Streptophyta; Magnoliopsida; Brassicales; Brassicaceae.
AGGGGAAGCAACCAAUCCUCUGAAAAUGCAGUUGCCUUCUUCGUCCUUGGAUGCGUAUCCAGCAAUA